GUGGGUGAUUCCAUUCAGUUAGCCACCCCCAUGGCCCCACAGUUAAUAUGUCUUAGCUACGUUUUCUGAAUCCAAAUGCCAACUAAGGUUGGAAGAUACACUCCUUCCCUGGAGUAGGCAUGCCAACAUUUAUUUUCAGCAAAGUUUCCUUAGGCUUUUAAGUUUUCUUACUCAUAAAAUACUCNGCUUAUUACAGAAUAUUGAACUCCUAGUGCAAGGCAAAAUCAUCAUUACAGCUUCAGGNUGAAAUUAUCAUAAGCUCAAGGUGACUGAUACUGCAUCAUAAGCCAAUANGAGUUAAAGUUCGAGCAAUGCUUAAAGCAUCGUACGACAUUUCUCAUUCAAAUGUGCUUAUGCUUUUUAUCAAGACUUUUUAAGGCAAAACACAAUAACCAAAACAUCUUACCAAAACUGAACUAGGCUAGUUCAAAAUCUCCCAGUAAAUUAUUGCUCUUGUUAGGAACUCCUGAGUUGGAUUUGACGCCUCAUCCUUCUGUGGACACAUCCACUCCAUUCCAGAAGUCUCUUUGAGGACACCCAUUCACCUUGACUGUUUUCUUCCCUUUCCUCUGCUUCUUUCAACUUUGCCAAGAGCAACAAUCUUUUCUAGUCCCCACAUCAUCCCAAAUCAUCCGUUCCCAUCACGUGACCAAAGCAGAUUUGUUCAUAGUAGAAUAAAGAGGGAGAAACAGCAUCUGAUGUGUCAGGUGGACAUGAGGCAGAGUUUGGAAAAACAUCACAAAAAUCAAGGAUGCAAUGCAAUAUAAUCCUGACAAAAAUCCACCCUUAAACUCGGUGCCUACUUUUUGUUUUGUUUUGUCUGAAUUAAAGCCAUAGCUGGUCUGAAACAUCCUCAUUUCCCAGCACCAAACCCUUUUAACUAGAUGGGUGAGAUUCUAUUUUUUUUUUCUUUUCUCCUGAGNUUGGGAACAAGCAGUCUUUUGACUUUUAUUAUUAAACAACACCUUGCUGAAGCAAGAAAUCAACAUCUCAGGCACCUUGUCAUGGGUGAUCAUG
RNAcentral lists this long non-coding RNA (1017 nucleotides) under Salvator merianae (Argentine black and white tegu). RNAcentral's name for it is "lncRNA (ENSSMRG00000007913.1)". The record is from RNAcentral. Lineage: Eukaryota; Metazoa; Chordata; Lepidosauria; Squamata; Teiidae.